AUAGCGGAGGAAAAGAAACCAACAGGGAUUGCCUCAGUAACGGCGAGUGAAGCGGCAAAAGCUCAAAUUUGAAAUCUAGCACUUUCAGUGUUCGAGUUGUAAUUUGAAGAAGGUAACUUUGGUUUUGGCUCUUGUCUAUGUUCCUUGGAACAGGACGUCACAGAGGGUGAGAAUCCCGUGCGAUGAGAUGCCCAAUUCCAUGUAAAGUGCUUUCGAAGAGUCGAGUUGUUUGGGAAUGCAGCUCUAAGUGGGUGGUAAAUUCCAUCUAAAGCUAAAUAUUGGCGAGAGACCGAUAGCGAACAAGUACAGUGAUGGAAAGAUGAAAAGAACUUUGAAAAGAGAGUGAAAAAGUACGUGAAAUUGUUGAAAGGGAAGGGCUUGAGAUCAGACUUGGUAUUUUGCGUUCCCUUCCUUUUUGGUUGGGUUCCUCGCAGUUUACUGGGCCAGCAUCGGUUUGGAUGGUAGGAUAAUGACAUUGGAAUGUAGCUUUACUUCGGUGAAGUGUUAUAGACUUUGUUGAUACUGCCUAUCUAGACCGAGGACUGCGUCUUUGACUAGGAUGCUGGCGUAAUGAUCUUAAGCCGCCCGUCUUGA
Molecule: ribosomal RNA, 594 nt
Filed under: Dujonia zeylanoides
Lineage: Eukaryota; Fungi; Ascomycota; Pichiomycetes; Serinales; Debaryomycetaceae
Description: [Candida] zeylanoides partial large subunit ribosomal RNA
Rfam family: Eukaryotic large subunit ribosomal RNA
Source: RNAcentral